CUAGCUAGCCCUGGAGGCUCUCUGUGAUGCGACCACAUCCUGAGGUUUUUACAUGACUCAAACCCACAAAACACCCUUCCUGCCCCAUCUCAUCUCCAAUACCCUUUACAAUCCCUGUACCAUUCAUUCCUCCUUGGUUAUCAGAACAGUCUGACCCUUUUCCUGCUUGUGGCAGACCACGUUCCCACUCCAACAUUUGACACGAGAGUAAUGAUAGCUGACACAAAAAGCCCAGGGGUCAGAAGAGACCCAAACUAUCAAGGUAGCUGGCCCGACAACAGGCUCAGGGGGUAAAUGUUUAAUACUAUCAAAACAUCUGCAUCUCUUUUCAGAAAUUUUCAUUAUAGACCCACUGACAGAUACCAAGCGCAGAAGAACAAGGAUGUUUAUGCUAAAUAUGUAAGCUAAGUGGAAAAUCCAUUUACUUCUAUGUGUUUAAAAAAGUAAGACUUUGCAACUUAUAUAUGCAUAAAACCGAGGAAGUCUUUUUUUUUUUUUUUUUUUUGUGGAUCAGAGAGAUGGCUUGACCAGUAAAGGCCACACCAUCCUGAUAACUAUAAUUCGAAGGAUUAUAUGUGUGUGUGUGUGUGUGUGUGUGUGUGUGUGUGUGUUUGUGUGUGUGUGUGUGUGUGUGUGUGUGUGACUUUUCCUCUUAGAUAUUGAAUCUGGCCCCUUGUCUGCUCCUCACUAAUGCAAAUGCAGGUGCUACACUGUUGGAUUUCAUAGACCUUAAGACCAUGAGCCAACAUAAACCUCUUUAUUCUAUAUUCUGUUAUGACAGAAUAGGCUAAGACUGAAGACUGGAAACUGGUAUCAAUGGAGAAACAGAGGCCUAUUCCCUGGGAGAAAAUUAUCAAAAGAGAUGGUAACCUGGAAAUAGCUCAGAUGUCCUGGAUCUUCCAUUCUUCUUUGUGAAGUCAAGCUCCCACCAAUGAGCUGAAUCGUCACCUGUGUCAGGGAGGAAAGACGGAAACCAUCUUUUGCCAAGUGUGCUUGGUAGCUGUGCUGGGGUUCUGUUGUGGCUUGAAUGAGAAUGGCUUCAAUAAGUUCCUAUGUUUUAAUUCUUAGUCCUCAGUUGGUGGGAUCCUUUGGGAAAGAUCAGAACAUGUGGCCUUGUUGAAGCAGGCCUGUCACUGCGGGCAGCUUUGAGGUUUCAGAAGACGUUUGCCUGUUCCCACUGUGCUCUCCGCCUCCUGCCUACUGUUUGAGAUGUGAACUCUCAACCUCUGCUGCUGUGUCUUCACUCUGCCGCUGUGGACUCCAACUCUCUGAAAAUGGAUUCAAGCAGGCAGCCAAGCAUGGCAUUGUUCACAUGGUCCCACUGUGCUCUCUGCCUCCUGCUUGCUGUGUGAGAUGUGAGCCCUCACCUGUUUCUGCCAGCGUGCCUUUGUCCUGCCAUCAUGGAGUAUAGGUUUCUGAAACCAAAAACCCAAUUAAAAGCUUUCAUUUGUAA
Mus musculus (house mouse) is the source of this 1453-nucleotide long non-coding RNA. RefSeq annotates it as predicted gene, 34806. The transcript is spliced from 4 exons. Lineage: Eukaryota; Metazoa; Chordata; Mammalia; Rodentia; Muridae. The record is from RefSeq and is a predicted model, not a curated record.